ACAUGCAAGUCGAACGAAGUAGCAAUACUUAGUGGCAGACGGGUGAGUAACAUGUAGGUAUCUACCCUAUGGCCUGGAAUAACACGAGGAAACUUGUGCUAAUACCGGAUAAGUCUUUACGGAGAAAGCUUUAUGCACCAUUGGAUGAGCCUGCACUUGAUUAGUUUGUUGGUAGGGUAAUGGCCUACCAAGACUGUGAUCAAUAGCUGAUUUGAGAGGAUGAUCAGCCACAUUGGGACUGAGACACGGCCCAAACUCCUACGGGAGGCAGCAGUGGGGAAUCUUGCACAAUGGAGGAAACUCUGAUGCAGCGAUGCCGCGUGAGUGAAGAAGGCCCUUGGGUUGUAAAGCUCUUUCGUCGGGGAAGAAAAUGACUGUACCCGAAUAAGAAGGUCCGGCUAACUUCGUGCCAGCAGCCGCGGUAAUACGAAGGGACCUAGCGUAGUUCGGAAUUACUGGGCUUAAAGAGUUCGUAGGUGGUUGAAAAAGUUGGUGGUGAAAUCCCAGAGCUUAACUCUGGAACUGCCAUCAAAACUUUUCAGCUAGAGUAUGAUAGAGGAAAGCAGAAUUUCUAGUGUAGAGGUGAAAUUCGUAGAUAUUAGAAAGAAUACCAAUUGCGAAGGCAGCUUUCUGGAUCAUUACUGACACUGAGGAACGAAAGCAUGGGUAGCGAAGAGGAUUAGAUACCCUCGUAGUCCAUGCCGUAAACGAUGUGUGUUAGACGUUGGAAAUUUAUUUUCAGUGUCGCAGCGAAAGCGAUAAACACACCGCCUGGGGAGUACGACC
Molecule: ribosomal RNA, 786 nt
Filed under: uncultured Pelagibacteraceae bacterium
Lineage: Bacteria; Pseudomonadati; Pseudomonadota; Alphaproteobacteria; Candidatus Pelagibacterales; Candidatus Pelagibacteraceae
Description: bacterial SSU rRNA
Rfam family: Bacterial small subunit ribosomal RNA
Source: RNAcentral